This 443-nucleotide ribosomal RNA is filed under the name uncultured bacterium. RNAcentral's name for it is "partial 16S ribosomal RNA". It matches the Rfam family "Bacterial small subunit ribosomal RNA", at positions 338 to 795 of the family's 1533-position model. The record is from RNAcentral.
CCUACGGGAGGCCGCAGUGGGGAAUAUUGGGCAAUGGGCGCAAGCCUGACCCAGCAACGCCGCGUGAAGGAAGAAGGCCCUCGGGUUGUAAACUUCUUUUAUCAAGGACGAAACAAAUGACGGUACUUGAUGAAUAAGCCAAGGCUAACUACGUGCCAGCAGCCGCGGUAAUCCGUAGGUGGCAAGCGUUAACCGGAUUUACUGGGGGUAAAGGGCGUGUAGGCGGGACUGCAAGUUCGAUGUGAAAACCAUGGGCUCAAACCAUGGUCUGGAUUUGAAACUGUAGUUCGUGAGUGUUGGAGAGGCAGGCGGAAUGCCGUGUGUAGCGGUGAAAUGCGUAGAUAUACGGAGGAAAACCAGUGGCGAAGGCGGCCUGCUGGACAAUAACUGACGCUGAGGCGCGAAAGCGUGGGGAGCAAACAGGAUUAGAGACCCGAGUAGUC